UACAUACGACUUAAACCCGGAAAAUCUUGAAGGUUCAAUAUCAUAUCUUCACGUUAUAUAAUCUGUUUCUUUCUUGAUAUGUCUUCUGUAAAAUAUAUAUUGUAUAAAUUUUAUUGGGUUUUUAGAUGGUUAGGGGGUGAAUCGAGCAGAAGAGUGGUUAUUCUAUACACCAAGAGAUAGAGAAAAUGAAAUUUAGAACAUUUGGAAUGGAACUGCUAUUGAUGGAUAUUGGCCAGUAAUAGGGGACGAUGGAACUAUCGUUUAUAAUGAUGAAACUCGUGGAUUUUGAAGGACUUUAGAAUUCUACAAGGAAACCCACCUUGAGGUGACAAGACUUCUUGGAUCGUGCAUGAAAUUAAAGCGAAUGAUGAUCAACAAAGUGUCGCAGUCUUGCAGAUGAUAGUAACUUAUUAGAUGUUUGCUUUGCAAGUUUUCGUAGUAUGUUGAUAAGACAUAUAAUUACACAUACGGUGGAUUUUUUUCCUUUCUUGUAGUUGGACGAUUGGAUUGCGUAUAAUAUUCUACGAGGAGAACAGAUGGAAGGGUGAGACAUGGUCGAGUGACGUAGAUGAUGAUUUAUGGGUUGAUGAUUUGGAGGACAAGUUAAUGGAGGUGACGACAAGUAUAUGCUAAAUGAGUGGUCGAGGUAGAUUUUCAUUCUACUAGAGAAGUACGAUCUUUGUUGAAAAUGUUAGAAGAUAAACGUGUAUGAGGAGGAGUUUUCUCCCUCAUCAAUGUUCAAUUUCUAAAGAAUUUUGUAUAAUAUUUUCUGCCUGUCUUACAAUUUCAAAGAUUCAUUUAUACCAGUGGCACGACCACAACUUUUCAUAAGUGAAUAAUGACAAGACUUGAAUCCACGACCUUCAUCUUGAUCUUGCUUUUUUCCCACUAUUUCUUGUUCAAGAAUGUUUUCAAUAGUUAUGGACUGAUCAUCAGAUGUCUGAUCUUGAAACUCUGGAAGAAGAAUCUUCUCAAUUGCUUCUCGGACGAGCUCUAUCUGAUCUCGAAUUUCCGAAUCAUUUUUUCGGCCACUAUAUCUGAAUCAUUAAAACCUGAUGCCACAUGCUGAUAUGUCUCUCUUUCUUUAUUGAACUGAGGCAGUGAGACCUGCAUUCUUCAGAAUCGGGGAAUCUGAUGUGUAAUUUCAACUUUCAUGACUUCUCGAGCUUCAGAUUCUCCGAUAUUGGUAAAUCCAAUAGCAAACUCUUGUUCUAACUCGAAGCUAGACAACUGAAGCUGAUGACAUCAUACUCGAAAAAGCUUGCUCUUCUGCAAGAUUAUUUCUGAUUUAGUUGAGACUCUCCCGAUAACUUUUCUCCGGGUACGUGGUUUCAACAAAAUGCCAUUUCAACAAGCACUGAUUCUUGAAUGCUACCACAUCUCCAAAUAUCCAAGUUUUUGGUUUAAAAUUGGUCUCUUCACACGAUUCCAUGACCAUAUGGCUAUCCUUGAGACAUUAGUUUCUCAAGAACUGAAAUUGGAAGGCAGGUUAUUUGGUGAUGCACUGAUCCUGAAAAGGUAAUCUGAACCACUAAAUUUUGGGGCUGUAAUUGGCCCACUAAAGAAUCUAAGUCCAAGUAGGGGUUGGGCAUGUUUUCCUUGAAUAUCGAGCAAUCUAAAGGAUACACGUUUGGUAAAAACGUUACAAUCGUAUAAAUUGUAGGAAUCCACAAAGUGUAUAGACAAAAAUUCACAUAUUUGUGGAUCCUGCGACUUAUAAACUAAAUAAUGUUAUUCAUAAUCGCCCACUUUCGAUAAUUGCCCUACUUGACAAUUUGUUAUUUCCUGAAUUGAGUAUUUGUAUAAAAAUUAUACGAA
Molecule: long non-coding RNA, 1818 nt
Filed under: Olea europaea subsp. europaea
Lineage: Eukaryota; Viridiplantae; Streptophyta; Magnoliopsida; Lamiales; Oleaceae
Source: RNAcentral